GGCAAGCUCGGCCAGGGUCGCGAGUUCGGGCGUGGGAGCGCUGCCGAUUGAAUUGAGCGAACGAACUGCGAGCAACCUUUGACGUUCGUUCGUGGGGAUUCGUAC
RNAcentral lists this small RNA (105 nucleotides) under Sinorhizobium meliloti 2011. RNAcentral's name for it is "putative ncRNA". Lineage: Bacteria; Pseudomonadati; Pseudomonadota; Alphaproteobacteria; Hyphomicrobiales; Rhizobiaceae. The record is from RNAcentral.